This 866-nucleotide unclassified non-coding RNA is filed under the name Nandina domestica (heavenly bamboo). RNAcentral describes it as "partial contains partial tRNA-Leu gene and 3' flanking region". The stretch from base 1 to 413 matches the Rfam family "Group I catalytic intron", at positions 36 to 253 of the family's 253-position model. Lineage: Eukaryota; Viridiplantae; Streptophyta; Magnoliopsida; Ranunculales; Berberidaceae. The record is from RNAcentral.
ACCUACUACGUGAUAACUUUCAAAUUCAGAGAAACCCUGGAAUUAAAAAUGGGCAAUCCUGAGCCAAAUCCUGUUUUCAGAAAAAAGGGAUAGGUGCAGAGACUCAAUGGAAGCUGUUCUAACGAAUGGAGUUGACUGCGUUGGUCGAGGAAUCUUUCUAUCUUUCUAUUAAAACUCCAUAAAGGGUGAACCUAUAUACGUACGUAUACGUACUUAAAUAGCAAAGAUUAAUGAGAUCCGAAUCCGUUUUUAUAUGAAAAAUUGAAAAAUUAUUGUGAAUCGAUUCCAAGCGGAAGGAAGAAUCGAAUAUUCACUGAUCAAAUCAGUCACUCUAUAGUCUGAUAAAUCUUUUGAAGAACUAACUAAUUGGACGAGAAUAAAGAUAGAGUCCCCAUUCUACAUGUCAAUAUCAAUACCGACAACAAUGAAAUUUAUAGUAAGAGGAAAAUCCGUCGACUUUAGAAAUCGUGAGGGUUCAAGUCCCUCUAUCCCCAAUAAAAGAUUGGUUUUACUUCCUGAUUAUCACUAUCCUUUUUUUUUUUCAGCGGUUCAAAAUUAGCUAUGUUUAUCAUUCACUCUACUCUUUCACAAACACAAAAAAUCGGCGGAGAAAUCUCCUAUCACAAGUCUUGUGAUAUGUACGAUAUACGUACAAAUAAACAUCUAUGAGCAAGGAAUCCCUUUUUGAAACAUUCACAGCCCAUAUCAUUAUUUUUAAUUAAACUUAACUAAAAAAAAGUAUUACUUUUGAAGAUCAAAAAAAUUCCAGGGCCUGGGUAAGACUUUGUAAUGCUUUUUUAAUCUAUUUAAUUGAAUUGACAUAGGCCCAAGCCCUUUAGUAGUAUGGGAAUGAUGCAUCGGGAAGA